RNAcentral lists this small nuclear RNA (106 nucleotides) under Sciurus vulgaris (Eurasian red squirrel). Lineage: Eukaryota; Metazoa; Chordata; Mammalia; Rodentia; Sciuridae. The record is from RNAcentral.
AUGCUCACUUCAGAAGCACAUAUGCUAAAAUUGGAACAAUACCAAGAAGAUUAUCAUGGUCCUAUGCAAGCAUGACAUGCAAAUUAGUGAAGUAUUGUGUGUGUGU